GUAGGUGGCAAGCGUUGUCCGGGAAUUAUUGGGGCGUAAAGCGCGCGCAGGCGGGUUUUUUAAGUCUGAUGUGAAAGCCCACGGGCUCAACCGUGGAGGGUCAUUGGAAACUGGAGAACUUGAGUACAGAAGAGGAAAGCGGAAUUCCACGUGUAGCGGUGAAAUGCGUAGAGAUGUGGAGGAACACCAGUGGCGAAGGCGGCUUUCUGGUCUGUAACUGACGCUGAGGCGCGAAAGCGUGGGGAGCAAACAGGAUUAGAUACCCUGGUAGUCCACGCCGUAAACGAUGAGUGCUAAGUGCUAGGGGGUUUCCGCCCCUUAGUGCUGCAGCUAACGCAUUAAGCACUCCGCCUGGGGAGUACGGCCGCAAAGGCUG
This 376-nucleotide ribosomal RNA is filed under the name uncultured organism. Its description in RNAcentral is "partial 16S ribosomal RNA". It matches the Rfam family "Bacterial small subunit ribosomal RNA", at positions 527 to 896 of the family's 1533-position model. The record is from RNAcentral.